Molecule: long non-coding RNA, 202 nt
Filed under: Lathyrus oleraceus (garden pea)
Lineage: Eukaryota; Viridiplantae; Streptophyta; Magnoliopsida; Fabales; Fabaceae
Description: Pisum sativum (pea) long non-coding RNA (PSAT_LNC004934)
Source: RNAcentral
UUCCUCUAAUCCUCUCCCAGCACCUAUAUACACCACCUCUGAAACCCCACCUUCUACAACCAAAACCUCACAACCUCUACCUAAAUUUAAUCCUGCCCAUACAUCACUACCUCUAUCCGAAGUUGAAGAACUCAAUCAAACCACCUCUUCAUCUUCAAACCCAGAAUCACCCCCUACCUUAUCCUCUCCUCUGACCCAGAAC